RNAcentral lists this non-coding RNA (23 nucleotides) under Arabidopsis thaliana (thale cress). The record is from RNAcentral. Lineage: Eukaryota; Viridiplantae; Streptophyta; Magnoliopsida; Brassicales; Brassicaceae.
GUCAUCGGUUGGAUCAUUUGGUA